Populus trichocarpa (black cottonwood) is the source of this 2256-nucleotide long non-coding RNA. RefSeq lists it as uncharacterized. NCBI's taxonomy places the organism in Eukaryota, Viridiplantae, Streptophyta, Magnoliopsida, Malpighiales, Salicaceae. The transcript has 3 exons. The record is from RefSeq and is a predicted model, not a curated record.
CAAUAACCUCUACGAUAUGCUUAGAUAACGUUGGGAAACUAUCUCUAGACAAACAGAGAUCAUGGAGAGAGGGAAUAUGUUUUCCUGUAUUUUUUUUAUUUUAAAAUUAUAGAAAUCCACUUCAAAACUGUUUUAGAGAUAAAUUUAUUUCAUAUAUCUUUUUAAUAAAAAACAUUUCUAUUUCUUUUGUGUUAGUUCAUUAUUUUUCUGAUAAUAUAUAUUAGUUGAUUCUAUCUUGAAACAUUAACCACUAUAUAGACCUUUCAUAGAGUUUUGGCUUGUGAUGAGAGCAAUACUUUAUCCUAUUUCUUCUAUCAAGUAUAUAAGAACGUUCGACUGACUUCAUUUUGGGUACUAGUAGGAAUUUUAUUUUCAAGUUUAUAGAGUUUCACAAUCUCCAUAAAUAAAUCACAAUCUCUAUGACUAAAACACAGAUUUGUGGCACCAGGAUUGGCAGGCGACAUAAGCUGGUUGAACGGAAGCAGAGUCCGCAGACAUUCACCAAACGUUUGGGCUGCAAAGUUGUGAGUAUGUCUCUGUUUGUAUCUGUAUCUGAACUGUUUUUUGACAUGUUUUGAACUCUAAAUCUCUCAAGGUGCAUGGCUGCUUCACACUAUGCACAUCGAGGAACCAUUCUUUUCUCUUGCGGUGAUGAUAAGAAAGUAUUAGAAAGCAUAAAAUUCGAGGGCUUACAUCCUACAACUGACUACUGAUAAGUCAUAUGAAUAUGAUUAAGGGGUCUUGUGGUCAAAGAUGGGCAUGCAUGAUUGUCUCAAACUGUUGAGGAACUAUGGAGUGGAUGUGGGCUUCGCGCAUUGAAGCUACGCAAUCUCUUUCUUCGAAUACUAUCGGAUUCUGACUUGGUACUGCUGUUUGUGGGUAAAUAACACUUAAAACCAUGUUACAAAAGCUGAACAAUCAUCAAUCCUCAGCAGUGGCAACUUUAUCAUUGGGUAUCCUUGCUCUCAGCCAAGCCAACUCUGCAAAUCCGAAGUUGAUUCCAAUAAUUCGGCUUCCAACCCUGCUUCUUCAGCUUGGUGGUCCUUGAUUAAUUGUCACAGCUUAUUCUAUGGAAGACAACGAAUUAUAGCGAAGGCACCUUCUUGAGCUAGUAGUCCAAGUCGGUGUGGCUUCUUAUGUCUUGUUCAGGUUACGGAGCAGGAAUGCCAUCAUGCUAGUAGCCAUUCCCGUCUUUAUUUCAGGAAUAAUCAAGUAUGGAGAAAGGAUGCGGGCUUUCAGGUUAAUUAGCAAGUUCCCAGACUUUUGAGCACUACACAGACAAUCAAUUAUUCUUCCAGCCACACUUCUGUUAGAACAUCGCUUCCGAAUUUGCAUGCAACAACAGCGUAUGAGGAUAGAUAUCUCUAUGAAGCUCGUCUUUUGUUCAGGAUGCUGUUCACAAAUGUAGUUCUUGGCAUUGAUGAUCAAAAGAUAACCUACGAUUUGAUUUCCAAAAAGAAUAUAUACCAAAUUAAGAAGGCUUAAGUUGAUAGAAGUCCAGGUGGGAAUAUUCAUGUAUGAUCUGCACUAUUCUAAGGUGAGAAAGGUUUCUUUUCCACGCAUCAUCCUCCAUUCUAUCACCUUCUUAUCCUCUGUUUCUGCAUUAGUUGCCUUCUCAACAAUAACCACAAAGAAGAACGUCUAUUCUAAUAGCGACACGAUGCUAUCUUACUUGUUGCUGCUCGGAGCUGUCUUGCUUGAGAGUUAAUCUAUCAUCGUGUUUUUUUGGUCGGACAAGACAGUGCUUUGGCUUAGUAGUGGUCAGAUAGCGGGUAAUUUUCUUUAAGGAACCAAUGGUUUUUUUAAGAAUCACAAAAGAUAGUCAGGAUCCAUGGCUCAACAUGACCUAAUUCUAAGUACCCUGUUUAGUAAACCAGUGAUCAAGGCUCUUAGCAAGCAUUUGCCUGGAAAACUGGAACGUUCAUGGCAGGGAGGAUGUGGAUGAUGAUUUAAAAGAAUUGAUCUUCAUCAAUCAUGCCUUGCAUAAACGUUCAAGGAUACCAGUGAUUUCAACGUCCUAAAGCAGCUAUAAUAAUUAGCAGAGAGAGGUGACGUGGCACAUUUCGAAGGAAGGAUUUCUUCGAAAAAAAUUGGAUGGAGGGUGGUUGGUGUAGAAUUCAUUAAUAGCCUCCUUUCUUGGCACAUUGUUACUCGUGUCUGUUAUUGUUGGGUCUGUGAUAAAUUGUGUCCUUGAGUGGGAGAAAAUAAAUAGCCAUGUAAUUAGUUCAUAUAAAAUUUUAAUGCUGUUAUAUUUUA